RNAcentral lists this ribosomal RNA (498 nucleotides) under Triticum aestivum (bread wheat). RNAcentral's name for it is "partial small subunit ribosomal RNA". Lineage: Eukaryota; Viridiplantae; Streptophyta; Magnoliopsida; Poales; Poaceae. The record is from RNAcentral.
AUGGCGCUACCGUCAGGAUUGUGGAUGGGUUCGACCGUCCCCCUCGACGACAUCGCCUACCUUCGCGACACCAGACGCCCGUCGAGGGCGCAGGAGGUCGAGGCGCGCCCUCCGCAGGGCGAGCGGGAGCCGUGGCCCGAGGGCUUGGAGCGUGUGGUCUUCCUGCCACACUUCAAGCGCGGGUUUGGGAUUCCCGUGAGCGGCUUCUUCCGCGACUUCCUGGAGUUCUUCCGGCUCCAGCCCCACCAUCUCGGCGCCGACGCCAUCGUACAACUGUCAGGCUUCGUCACCCUCUACGAUGGGUACCUGGGGGUCGAGCCUUCGAUUGACCUCUGGGUAUGCUUCUUCUCCCUGAAGCAGCAGGGGCCGAAGGCCAGGGAGAUUUCCGAGUGCGGGGCGGCCGUCAUCACCAAGCGGUCGGCCGUCGACUGCCCGAGGAUGCCGCCGGAGGAUUUUGCCAAGAAAUGGCAGAAUUCUUUCUUCUACGUUCGCAAUUGA